RNAcentral lists this non-coding RNA (31 nucleotides) under Rattus norvegicus (Norway rat). Lineage: Eukaryota; Metazoa; Chordata; Mammalia; Rodentia; Muridae. The record is from RNAcentral.
GGGAACAUUACUUCACAGAGCACUACACAGU